RNAcentral lists this transfer RNA (74 nucleotides) under Alosa alosa (allis shad). RNAcentral describes it as "tRNA-OTHER". The record is from RNAcentral. Lineage: Eukaryota; Metazoa; Chordata; Actinopteri; Clupeiformes; Clupeidae.
GCAGUCGUGGCCUACUGGUUAGGGCUUCAGGCUUGUAACCGAAGGGUUGCUGGUUCGAUCCCCGACCAGUAGGA